Molecule: ribosomal RNA, 391 nt
Filed under: uncultured bacterium
Lineage: Bacteria
Description: partial 16S ribosomal RNA
Rfam family: Bacterial small subunit ribosomal RNA
Source: RNAcentral
AUACGUAGGGGGCAAGCGUUAUCCGGAAUUACUGGGCGUAAAGGGUGCGUAGGCGGUUUAUCAAGUCAGGGGUGAAAGGCUACGGCUCAACCGUAGUGAGCCUCUGAAACUGGUGAACUUGAGUGUAGGAGAGGAAAGUGGAAUUCCCAGUGUAGCGGUGAAAUGCGUAGAUAUUGGGAGGAACACCAGUGGCGAAGGCGACUUUCUGGACUACAACUGACGCUGAGGCACGAAAGCGUGGGGAGCAAACAGGAUUAGAUACCCUGGUAGUCCACGCUGUAAACGAUGAGUACUAGGUGUCGGCUGUCAAAGGUCGGUGCCGGCGUUAACACAUUAAGUACUCCGCCUGGGGAGUACGCUCGCAAGAGUGAAACUCAAAUGAAUUGACGGG